UGCGUAGGCGGCUCUGCAAGUCAGAAGUGAAAUCCAUGGGCUUAACCCAUGAACUGUUUUUGAAACUGUAGAGCUUGAGUGAAGUAGAGGUAGGCGGAAUUCCCGGUGUAGCGGUGAAAUGCGUAGAGAUCGGGAGGAACACCAGUGGCGAAGGCGGCCUACUGGGCUUUAACUGACGCUGAGGCACGAAAGCAUGGGUAGCAAACA
This 207-nucleotide ribosomal RNA is filed under the name uncultured bacterium. RNAcentral describes it as "partial 16S ribosomal RNA". It matches the Rfam family "Bacterial small subunit ribosomal RNA", at positions 568 to 774 of the family's 1533-position model. The record is from RNAcentral.